CGAGCGGCAUUCGUUCGCGAUAUCCGACCGUUUUGUUGUUGUCGGCGGUGCGAAGGCGUUUGGACGGCGCGAAUCAGUCGUCGUCAAAGCGUCUUGCAGAAGGACGCCCGAGACGCUUUCAGUAGCGAUUCCUGCGGCGUCGUUAUCGCGCUCUCUUGUCGAUCGCGUUUUGUUUGUAAUAAGAGUCGUCUUGGAAACUUUUUGACCGGAGAACCGAUUUGCAUUUUGCCGCAAUCGAACGGCAGUGUGGGUUCGGUUGGUUUGGGGGUUAGUGGCGAGUUCUUGGACGACUCGGAUUGGGUUUUCCAACAUUCAAGUGAGUUGGCGACUAAAUAAAUAAAAACUGUCUUCAUUCAUAUGUGAGAUGCAGUGGUGUGGAUUGCUGCCAUGACCAUUACAACGAGGAGACGAGCUUUGGGGUUACAAAAACUUAAAACUGCUAUUGGAACGACACCGAUGUUGUUGAAGUAGACGACUCUGCGCUAGAUCGCGGAAAUCUAUUACAUAAUAAUUUGUGGGUGUCUAAAUAAUCGACACAACCUUGAACGAACACUUGUCUUAGAACAGGUAACGAAUACACAAGAGGACAAUUAAUAAUAUUCUCGAAUCUUAUUUUAACCGGACGAGCAAUUCAUAAUUUACAUCGCGUUUACUCACAAGGCGCAUAAACAUCAUCUUGACAAAGGUA
Long non-coding RNA from Cylas formicarius (sweet potato weevil), 688 nucleotides. RefSeq lists it as uncharacterized. Lineage: Eukaryota; Metazoa; Arthropoda; Insecta; Coleoptera; Brentidae. The transcript is spliced from 3 exons. The record is from RefSeq and is a predicted model, not a curated record.